This 642-nucleotide ribosomal RNA is filed under the name Leuconostoc mesenteroides. RNAcentral describes it as "bacterial SSU rRNA". It matches the Rfam family "Bacterial small subunit ribosomal RNA", at positions 56 to 680 of the family's 1533-position model. The record is from RNAcentral. Lineage: Bacteria; Bacillati; Bacillota; Bacilli; Lactobacillales; Lactobacillaceae.
UGCAAGUCGAACGCACAGCGAAAGGUGCUUGCACCUUUCAAGUGAGUGGCGAACGGGUGAGUAACACGUGGACAACCUGCCUCAAGGCUGGGGAUAACAUUUGGAAACAGAUGCUAAUACCGAAUAAAACUUAGUGUCGCAUGACACAAAGUUAAAAGGCGCUUCGGCGUCACCUAGAGAUGGAUCCGCGGUGCAUUAGUUAGUUGGUGGGGUAAAGGCCUACCAAGACAAUGAUGCAUAGCCGAGUUGAGAGACUGAUCGGCCACAUUGGGACUGAGACACGGCCCAAACUCCUACGGGAGGCUGCAGUAGGGAAUCUUCCACAAUGGGCGAAAGCCUGAUGGAGCAACGCCGCGUGUGUGAUGAAGGCUUUCGGGUCGUAAAGCACUGUUGUAUGGGAAGAACAGCUAGAAUAGGAAAUGAUUUUAGUUUGACGGUACCAUACCAGAAAGGGACGGCUAAAUACGUGCCAGCAGCCGCGGUAAUACGUAUGUCCCGAGCGUUAUCCGGAUUUAUUGGGCGUAAAGCGAGCGCAGACGGUUUAUUAAGUCUGAUGUGAAAGCCCGGAGCUCAACUCCGGAAUGGCAUUGGAAACUGGUUAACUUGAGUGCAGUAGAGGUAAGUGGAACUCCAUGUGUAGCG